GUGCCAGCCGCCGCGGUAACACGUAGGGGGCAAGCGUUGUCCGGAUUUAUUGGGCGUAAAGAGCUCGUAGGCGGUUCGGUAAGUCGGGUGUGAAACCUCCAGGCUCAACCUGGAGAGGCCACCUGAUACUGCUGUGACUCGAGUCCGGUAGGGGAGCGUGGAAUUCCUGGUGUAGCGGUGAAAUGCGCAGAUAUCAGGAGGAACACCAGCGGCGAAGGCGGCGCUCUGGGCCGGAACUGACGCUGAGGAGCGAAAGCGUGGGUAGCAAACAGGAUUAGAUACCCCCGUAGUCC
This 293-nucleotide ribosomal RNA is filed under the name uncultured bacterium. RNAcentral describes it as "partial 16S ribosomal RNA". It matches the Rfam family "Bacterial small subunit ribosomal RNA", at positions 505 to 796 of the family's 1533-position model. The record is from RNAcentral.